Molecule: transfer RNA, 75 nt
Filed under: Verrucomicrobiota bacterium
Lineage: Bacteria; Pseudomonadati; Verrucomicrobiota
Also listed under: 1 other name
Description: Verrucomicrobia bacterium (wastewater metagenome) tRNA-Val
Rfam family: tRNA
About the family: Transfer RNA (tRNA) molecules are approximately 80 nucleotides in length. Their secondary structure includes four short double-helical elements and three loops (D, anti-codon, and T loops). Further hydrogen bonds mediate the characteristic L-shaped molecular structure. tRNAs have two regions of fundamental functional importance: the anti-codon, which is responsible for specific mRNA codon recognition, and the 3' end, to which the tRNAs corresponding amino acid is attached (by aminoacyl-tRNA synthetases). tRNAs cope with the degeneracy of the genetic code in two manners: having more than one tRNA (with a specific anti-codon) for a particular amino acid; and 'wobble' base-pairing, i.e. permitting non-standard base-pairing at the 3rd anti-codon position.
Source: RNAcentral
GCGCGGUUAGCUCAGAGGAAGAGCACUACCUUGACACGGUAGGGGUCGCAGGUUCAAGUCCUGCAUCGCGCACCA